UCACAAUGGACGAAAGUCUGAUGGAGCAACGCCGCGUGAGUGAAGAAGGUUUUCGGAUCGUAAAACUCUGUUGUUGGAGAAGAACGUAUUUGAUAGUAACUGAUCAGGUAGUGACGGUAUCCAACCAGAAAGCCACGGCUAACUACGUGCCAGCAGCCGCGGUAAUACGUAGGUGGCAAGCGUUGUCCGGAUUUAUUGGGCGUAAAGCGAGCGCAGGCGGUUUCUUAAGUCUGAUGUGAAAGCCUUCGGCUCAACCGAAGAAGUGCAUCGGAAACUGGGAAACUUGAGUGCAGAAGAGGACAGUGGAACUCCAUGUGUAGCGGUGAAAUGCGUAGAUAUAUGGAAGAACACCAGUGGCGAAGGCGGCUGUCUGGUCUGUAACUGACGCUGAGGCUCGAAAGCAUGGGUAGCAAACAGGAUUAGAUACCCUGGUAGUCCAUGCCGUAAACGAUGAGUGCUAGGUGUUGGAGGGUUUCCGCCCUUCAGUGCCGCAGCUAACGCAUUAAGCACUCCGCCUGGGGAGUACGACCGCAAGGUUGAAACUCAAAGGAAUUGACGGGGCC
This 563-nucleotide ribosomal RNA is filed under the name Lactobacillus sp. RNAcentral's name for it is "bacterial SSU rRNA". It matches the Rfam family "Bacterial small subunit ribosomal RNA", at positions 366 to 920 of the family's 1533-position model. Lineage: Bacteria; Bacillati; Bacillota; Bacilli; Lactobacillales; Lactobacillaceae. The record is from RNAcentral.